Molecule: ribosomal RNA, 497 nt
Filed under: uncultured bacterium
Lineage: Bacteria
Description: partial 16S ribosomal RNA
Rfam family: Bacterial small subunit ribosomal RNA
Source: RNAcentral
GAUGAACGCUGGCGGCGUGCCUAAUACAUGCAAGUCGAGCGAACGGACGAGAAGCUUGCUUCUCUGAUGUUAGCGGCGGACGGGUGAGUAACACGUGGAUAACCUACCUAUAAGACUGGGAUAACUUCGGGAAACCGUAGCUAAUACCGGAUAAUAUUUUGAACCGCAUGGUUCAAAAGUGAAAGACGGUCUUGCUGUCACUUAUAGAUGGAUCCGCGCUGCAUUAGCUAGUUGGUAAGGUAAAGGCUUACCAAGGCAACGAUGCAUAGCCGACCUGAGAGGGUCAUCGGCCACACUGGAACUGAGACACGGUCCAGACUCCUACGGGAGGCAGCAGUGGGGAAUCUUCCGCAAUGGGCGAAAGCCUGACGCAGCAACGACGCGUGAGUGAUGAAGGUCUUCGGAUCGUAAAACUCUGUUAUUCGGGAAGAACAUAUGUGUCAGUAACUGUGCACAUCUUGACGGUACCUAAUCAGAAAGCCACGGCUAACUACGUG